ACUUUUCGACAUUGCCAGGGUGCCUGCCGCCCCCAAAAUGAAUUUAAGCAUAAGGGGGGCCAGGGAUAAAAGGAAAAACGGUGAAAUUCCGUUGCAUACCAGCCGUUGCCGUGACCGGGGACAAGGCCUGCAUGAUGCCACUUUUUUAAUUUGGUUCCUUACCAAAACGAAAGGGGAAGGCGCAGGUCAGAGAAUGAUCCGUCAGCCGGAAAGCCUGCCCGGGCAAAAGACCAAGG
Molecule: non-coding RNA, 236 nt
Filed under: Desulforapulum autotrophicum
Lineage: Bacteria; Pseudomonadati; Thermodesulfobacteriota; Desulfobacteria; Desulfobacterales; Desulfobacteraceae
Also listed under: 1 other name
Source: RNAcentral